This 465-nucleotide ribosomal RNA is filed under the name uncultured bacterium. RNAcentral's name for it is "partial 16S ribosomal RNA". It matches the Rfam family "Bacterial small subunit ribosomal RNA", at positions 338 to 795 of the family's 1533-position model. The record is from RNAcentral.
CCUACGGGAGGCAGCAGUGGGGAAUAUUGCGCAAUGGGCGAAAGCCUGACGCAGCGACGCCGCGUGAGGGAUGAAGGUCUUCGGAUCGUACACCUCUGUCAGCAGGGAAGAACGGUCACUGUGCUAAUCAGCAGUGAAUUGACGGUACCUGCAAAGGAAGCACCGGCUAACUCCGUGCCAGCAGCCGCGGUAAUACGGAGGGUGAGAGCGUUAAUCGGAAUUACUGGGCGUAAAGCGCUCGUAGGCGGUAUGUCAAGUCAAGGGUGAAAUCCCCGCGCUCAACGUGGGAACUGCCUGUGAAUCUGGCAAACUGGAGUGUGUGAGAGGAUAGUGGAAUUCCAGGUGUAGGAGUGGAAUCCGUAGAUAUCUGGAGGAACAUCAGGGGCGAAGGCGACUAUCUGGCACAUAACUGACGCUGAGGAGCGAAAGCGUGGGUAGCAAACAGGAUUAGAUACCCUAGUAGUC